CACUGAGACCAGCGCGGCUCGGAGUCCUGCUCGAAGAGCGGCACGAUGAUGUAGAAGCCGCGCACGAGCUUCAACGAAUCGCGUUCGCUGAGCAGCGACAGCGUCACCGGCAGCGCUUGCGAGUCCAUCGUUCCGCCGACGGCGUGACGACGUGACGCUGGCAUUCCUGCCGGUACGGAGCCGCUCUCAAUGCCGACGCUGAAACGAAUGCUCUGCACUUCGUCGACGGGCACAUUGAAGCUGACCGAAUUGCCCUGGCAGCCGGUCGUCCGGCUGGAGCCCCAGGCACGGAACGGCGCGUCGCGCCGCUCGGAGCCGUCGAGAUACGAAUAGUGCGUGAGCAGUUCGACCGCCCGGCGCUGACCCGGAUCCACCGACGCCCCACUGGCGCCGGAAACCGUGACACGCGCACCGCGGCUGAUGAACCCACCGUCUCCCGCAGGAACGUCAGAAGCGGCGUUGAGCGCGGCGUUCUCAUCGGGCAAUGCGAAGCCAACGGCGAGGCGCUUCGGCUGCGAAGCGGCAGUGCCGGCGAAUAAAUCCGGACCGACUACAGCGGUUGCAAGCGCGCACGUCGAUGAGGCGAUCAGAAACUGCCGCCUCCCGACCUUGUGCUGACUGAUACUACUCAUGCGGUUCUCCUUGGCCAAUCUCGUAUCUCUCGAUCCGCAUCCUACUACCGGGUCAUCACAACAGUUGGAUUACUACGUGCGAGGUGGAAACACUCCCUGGAGUGCGAUGCAGAAGUAAAACGUCAGGUACGGCUGCAGGUUGUUGUGGGGCUGAUCGCCGCCGGCGGGAGCGAGGGCCUCAGGCGCAAACGACACCAGAUUCGCAGCGGUGCCCCACGCAUUGCCGUUGUUCGAGCGGGCAUAAGAGAACCCUGCUGGGCUGAACUGAUCGGCAGGAUCCUGCGUAUAGACACGCAGAGUGUGAGAGUGCGCGGGUAUCUCACUCUCGAGCAAUGUCACGGUCUCGCUGCCGCCGGUCUCGCCGAGGUCAUGCAGCGAAAGGCCGGGGCCCUGCCCCGGAUGCAUCGGCGCCCGGCCCUGCAGGUCGGGAAGCGCGAAGUUGGAUUUGCCGUCGCCGCCGUAGGUCGUCCCCAGCAGCGAGAAUAGCGCGGUGUUCUGGGAAAGGGGCAUCAACUGCCCAUCGCACCAGGCCCAUCCUCUGGGCGCGAAGUUGAACGGGAAGAUUCGGAUCUCAGCAACAAAUGGAUCUGCCAUUUUCAAUCUCCUCUUUCAUCGUCACAGUCGUUCGAGCACAUCCAUCCGUCUCAAGUCGGAGACGGGAAAAUGCCGAACAGGGAGAUGAUGAAAUCCACACAGAGGUACGGCUGGAAGUUGGUAUGAGGCUGGCUGCCGCCGGUCGAGGAAACCGCCUGCGGUGCGCCGUUCCCAUCGGGAACGUCGCCGUAAUACAACUGCGACAGGAGUCCAGUCCCCGGCAGGGCACCAUCCGGGUUGGGUCUGAUGGCGGGAUUGGUCGAGGCAAUCAUCGGAUGGCUGUGGGCCGCGAUCUGGUUGACCGUGAGCGUGAUCUCCUCGGCGCCUCCGGUCUCCGCGAGGAUGAAGCCGCCGCCCUGAUGGAUGGGAAUGCGGCCGCGGAGGUCCGGCAGCGCGAAGGUCGACUCACCGUCGCCGCCGUACGUCGUACCGAGCAACUGGAACAGCGUCUCGUUUUCACUAAUGGGAAGUAGUUGUCCUUCGCAGAACAUCCACCCCGCGGGCG
RNAcentral lists this unclassified non-coding RNA (1731 nucleotides) under uncultured fungus. Its description in RNAcentral is "sequence contains 18S rRNA gene, ITS1, 5.8S rRNA gene, ITS2, 28S rRNA gene". The record is from RNAcentral. Lineage: Eukaryota; Fungi.